GGGGAUUGUUUCGGUUGCGUUGUUGAAAAGGAUGAUAUUGGUGAGUGUUAUAGUGAUUGGCUCGUUGUGGUGGACCACGAAAGUGGUUAUUGGGUGCCCUAUAAGUGUACAUAUUUUGUGAUUGAUGUGAUGGUUUGCUUGUACUCUGGUAUUGAUGGGACUGAUAUUUGGAGUGUUGUCUCUCUGGAUUUUCAUAUGUUCUUUGUUCGUGAUAGGAAUUGGUUUUUAUAAAACCACUUUUUUGUACAGGGUGUUGGGAGGUGUAUCUCUUGUUCAAGUGGUAGGUUCGGACUUGUUUGUUAGAGUAAUCUGUUUUAUCUCUAAUAUAUUUUUUGAUUUUAAUGUGUUUUGUUUCAAUUUCGACCUUUUCAAUUUUACUUUGAAUUAGAAUAGAAUUUUGUUUGUAUGCCUGUGUGUCAGUAAAUGGCAACAAUUUGUCUCGAAUAUCAUUGAUUUCUGCAUCUAGAAUUGACAAUUUUUUACUCUUUUUUAUUAUCAGAGUUUCCAUAAGCCCUAGAGUGCAAAGUUCUAACUUAUUGUUCCACUCUUCCAUAAAUUCCAAGUCAUCUUGGUCUGAGGUGGGCAACUUAAGUAGCCGUAGACCUCGGGGAGUAAUUUGUUC
Non-coding RNA from Pelobates cultripes (western spadefoot toad), 622 nucleotides. NCBI's taxonomy places the organism in Eukaryota, Metazoa, Chordata, Amphibia, Anura, Pelobatidae. The record is from the annotation of a GenBank genome assembly.